GUAAGUGUAGUGGGAAAAGAAUGGUUUAUUCCAUUUAUUUUCUUGAUUCAAUUAAAUUAAAAAUUAGAAGACCAUGGUUAUUUUAGGUAAGGAUGUGAUCAUCUUUUUAUUCCUUGCCAUUUAAAGAUAAAAACAAUUAUACAAAAAUUAAGAGAAAAUAUGGAGAGAAUAGGAAACUUACCUUUUCUUUUUAUUAAGCCAUUAUGAGAGAAUAAGGAUAAAGGGGAAAGGAAAGAGGGGAAGAGCCAUUUGCUCUUGUGGCUGCCGAAAUUAGAGAGAGAGAGAGAGAGAGAGAGAGAGAGAGAGAGAGAGAGAGAGUGGCGUGUAGAGAGAGAGGGAGAAGAAGAAAGAAAGAAAGAAGAAGAAGGUGAAGAGGAACCCAUCUUAGAGCUUGAACAAGGGUGUGAAGUUUGGGUGUUGAUCUUAUUGUGUUCUUGAUUUUACAAUCAAGAGAGGUAGCAAAUAGGAUUUCUUUAUGGCACGCGUGAUGACUUGAGGAGUUCUAUCAUCAUGGGGUGUAUGGCGUGGGGUAAUCCUAUGGACGGAAAAACGAUCAACGUAGAACGCCAUUUAAAUUAUGUUUUGUUUUUAAGAGACUUUCCUAAA
This is a long non-coding RNA of Humulus lupulus (European hop), 606 nucleotides long. RefSeq lists it as uncharacterized. The transcript is spliced from 3 exons. The record is from RefSeq and is a predicted model, not a curated record. NCBI's taxonomy places the organism in Eukaryota, Viridiplantae, Streptophyta, Magnoliopsida, Rosales, Cannabaceae.